Poecilia reticulata (guppy) is the source of this 268-nucleotide long non-coding RNA. RefSeq lists it as uncharacterized. The record is from RefSeq and is a predicted model, not a curated record. NCBI's taxonomy places the organism in Eukaryota, Metazoa, Chordata, Actinopteri, Cyprinodontiformes, Poeciliidae.
CUGGGAAGAGAUGCCGUGUUUUACACUGGUUUAUCGUUCUGACGUGGAUUAAAUCUACAGGUGUAAAAUGCUUUCAAAUGAGGAAACGGAGGAAAACAAUUCUUCUCCUAAAGCUACUUUGUCUGCACAAAUGGACAAGCAGGCUACAGAUAACAGCCAAAUGGAACAGGAAAGACCAGAGUCAGCUGAUUUAAGCUGUGUGUCCAUGGCGACUGAAAGAUCUAAAAUUGACCCAUUUAAUUUCAGCAACGUCUCGUCUGAAAGUAAA